GAAGCGCUGGCGCAACGGUAGCGCGUUCGACUCCAGAUCGAAAGGUUAAGGGUUCAAAUCCCUUGCGUUUCC
Hypsibius dujardini is the source of this 72-nucleotide transfer RNA. It matches the Rfam family "tRNA". From Rfam's summary of the family: Transfer RNA (tRNA) molecules are approximately 80 nucleotides in length. The record is from Rfam. Lineage: Eukaryota; Metazoa; Tardigrada; Eutardigrada; Parachela; Hypsibiidae.